Molecule: unclassified non-coding RNA, 182 nt
Filed under: plant metagenome
Description: partial contains small subunit ribosomal RNA and internal transcribed spacer 1
Rfam family: Eukaryotic small subunit ribosomal RNA (bases 1-54)
Source: RNAcentral
GGAAGUAAAAGUCGUAGCAAGGUUUCCGUAGGUGAACCUGCGGAAGGAUCAUUUUUGGAUUCUAUCAAUAGUGCCGAUUGCAUUCGUGUAGUCGACCUGCAAACAACAACUCUUGAACACUGCACUGUGUCUGAUACCAUUACAAUACAAAACAACUUUCAACAACGGAUCUCUAGGCUCUU